This 215-nucleotide long non-coding RNA is filed under the name Rattus norvegicus (Norway rat). Its description in RNAcentral is "long non-coding RNA NONRATT023541". Lineage: Eukaryota; Metazoa; Chordata; Mammalia; Rodentia; Muridae. The record is from RNAcentral.
GUUCCGAACAGCAGUGUCCAGCAGAAUCAGGGGCAACGCUCUGGGAAAUGUGUCCUGCACCAUCCGUAAUAAGGUCCUUGGCCAAGAGAAGACUACAGCCAUGCUGAUUACAGCCCCAGAUCCAGGAAGUCUGUCCUCUCCAGCAGUGGCUCUCUCUGUGGUCUUGCCCAUCUUGGGCCUCCUCAUCCUUCUUGGCAUUGGGCUCCUCUGCAAAC